Non-coding RNA from Podarcis muralis (Common wall lizard), 760 nucleotides. The record is from RefSeq and is a predicted model, not a curated record. Lineage: Eukaryota; Metazoa; Chordata; Lepidosauria; Squamata; Lacertidae.
GAGAGAAAUUUUGGGACAUGCCCGUCUGAGUACCUUCUGUCUUGUUGCAGUCCACGGCUGCGGUUGGAGGGCAGAGUGACGUCCCCUUAAAGGAGGAGGAAUUCCUGGUGACCGAAACAGCAGUGUCUCACAAGGAAGGCAAAUUCCGCUCAGAACUCUCCAAGCUGCUGAUCGUCGCCAAAACUUCCCACGACGAGCUGUGAAUCGCCGAGUUCCCUUGCCUGUUAGAAGGUGCUCUGCUUUGCCGGGGACACUGCAAGCGGAUUUUCUGGCCGACUCUUGCAGGGGUGGGGACCUCUCUCCUGUGCUACGCUGGAGUAGGAAUUGGGGAAGCAUUUGCAAAACUGCGCAGUGCUUUGGCACCACAAACCCUGGAAGCUCCUCUUGAGAUGUUUCUGGUGUUCUGCUUCGGCAGCAGUCUCUCGGAAUACGAAUUGUCACCGGCGGUGCGGGGAAUAAAUGUGGGGCGCCGUUUAUCAUCCUAGCAAUCUUCGUUUCCAGUCUGAUGGUGCAGCACCCAAUCUGGAGAGACCAGCGGCAGCUGUCACAGAGAGACUGCGUCUGAAAACCAUCGCAGAAGUUUUGAUUCCUCUGAUCGCUUUUCAUCCAGAAAGGACCAAAUAAAUACACCGGCGCAUUCCCUCCCCAACUUGUCUUCCCCCUCCGUAAGCCAGCUUAAUAACCACAACAGAAUCCCACCUUCUCUCUUCCUUGGUGAAAAAGGGCAAUAGUUCGAAUAAAUCAGAAUAUAUAUAUCUUA